GCCACACGCUUGUUUUGUUAAGGAGAGUCCACCUAUCACCAGGAGGGACAGAAGUCAGCUCAGGAAGGGAGACCCUGCCGGGGAACUCAGCCAUGAGACUUCGCAAUUAUAAGCUAUUCCUUAAGCCACAGAAAGAAGUGAAGAAAGGAAGAGGGGAAGACAGAAAGAAAACAAUUAUCACUUGGUUUAGUGACCACGUGUGUUGAGGACAGG
Molecule: long non-coding RNA, 213 nt
Filed under: Gorilla gorilla gorilla (western lowland gorilla)
Lineage: Eukaryota; Metazoa; Chordata; Mammalia; Primates; Hominidae
Description: lncRNA (ENSGGOG00000044286.1)
Source: RNAcentral